UUCAGUUAGUUGACAAGGCAACAUUUCUAUAUUUCAACAUUUCAUAUUUUUGUUAAAAAAAUUUUUUUUUAAGUUUAUGUAAUAUUUAAAUUUACAUGUUAAACCUUAUUUCAUUUAACAAAAUUUGUUUCCCCCAUAGGUUUAACUGUCACUGCAUGGAAAAGAGCUGUAUAAACAUUCUUCAAAUAUUCUCUUUUUUUGUUCUGUGGACCCUAACCCAAACCCACUGCUUUAAAACUAAACUAUCAUGUACACUCUUUCUGAAGACACAAAACAGCACAAGCAGCCCGAUCUGAACUGUUAGGCUCACGUCGCUCAAAAGAAGCUACAUUUAGAAUUGUUAGGUCCUCAUGGCCUUAAAGUGUGUAUUUAGAGUGAGUAGAUGUAUAGUAUUUUUUUAAGAGGGAUUUUUUUUUCUCAGAUCUUUUCUUGUGUGCUCAUGUCCCCGUAUUCAAAUGAAAUGUUUAACUGUUUUGAUUUCUCCAAUGUUGUAUGUUGCUCCGACCUGAACUACUAUAGAUGGAUGUAGUGUAGAGGGAGUGCUGUGAAGAUGAAUUUGUUUCUACACACCACCAUAAAAUUAUGUUUGAAAUUCUAUAAAUGUUCACAUUGUGUUUUGUAUGGAAAUAGAAAAUCACCACCCUCUUUCAAAGGUCUUACCUGUUAAAAGCCUGAAAACGAAGUCAAAUUCCAGUAUCUGGAUAUAAAUCAUAACUCGCAGCGUUUCUGAAAACAAAUGCAAAAAAAUAAAAUAACUAGGUUAGAAAAGAGAACACCCCCUUGAGUUGCAGCAAAUAACAAUUUGCACCCACAAGUCACUGCAGUACGCAUCCUGAACUAAACAAAAGUAACCAACUGUAUCAGGAGGCGGAUCAUGUGACAUCUACUACACAUUUGCAUAAAUUUAACCUCAACUUUGCUCUUUAUUCUAAUGGCCAACUCCUACUGAAAAUGAAUGAUGUAUUGCUGCAAAUCAAAUCAUCCUUUAGGGAAUUAUUCCAGCUCUGUUGUGAAUGUCCUCAACCAAUGGUUUUGGUAAAAAAUUAGGUCAGGACGUGGCAACUAAAGAACUUCCAAGAUAAAAGCUGCAGAUUUUGUCUGUAUUUGGCAUCAUCUGCUUACUUUCUUAUCCUGUCAAGAGCCCAAGUGUCAGCUGUUGAGAAAUUUAGGACGCUGUCAUGCUGUGUGGAGGAAGCGCUUGAUCUUGAAGCCGUGCACCUUGUACCUAAUGAGGGUGUUGACUGAGCUCCAUAAACCCUUUAAAACGUUUGGAUACCCGGCUCCUGACUUGUGCCUUCUCAUAAAAGUAUCCUUAUGUUCUUUAAAAAGCACAUUUUGGCCCAAUGUAAAUUGCUAAUCUGUGCUGUAACCAAUUUCCAUAUAGUACUUGCUAGAAAUAGGAGGAUUUCUGUAUUUCUACACUUAUUUCAAUUUCAUUAUUGUCCACAAAUUCUGAUUGGUUAAACCUAACUGGUGUUUUAUGUAACAAAAUGUUUAUAUAAUAACUUUUAUUUACAGCAUCCUGCUUGAAAGUGUUAGUUCAUUUUCAUUCAGAUAGUCAAGAAAUUUUUCAUUUGAUUGAUAUAUUUUCACAUACAUUCACACUGAAUGUAUAGCAAGUAUUAAUCUGUUAAUAUUUGUAAAUGAGUAAAAAUUAAAGGAAUAGUUCACCCCAAAAUUUAAAUGUGCUUAAAAUAUACUCACCCUGAGGACAUCCAAGCUGUAGAGAAGUUUGUUUCAUCUUCAGAACAGAUUUGGAGAAGUUUAACAUUCCAUCACUUGCUCAGCAAUGGAUGCUCUGCAGUGAAUGGGUGCCGUCAGAAUGAGAGUCCAAACAGCUGAUAAAAACAUCACAAUAACCCACACCACUCCAGUCCAUCUGUUAACAUUGUGUGAAGUAAAAAGUUGCUUGUUUGUAGGAAACAAACCCAUCAUUAAGGCUUUUUAAUUUAAAACAGUCCUCUAUUCUCCAAAGAAAAGGUUCUCGUCUGAAUCAGGAGAGAAAUAUACACAGAUCAAGCACUGUUUACAAGAGAAAACAGUCCAAAAGAGUUCUAAACAAAAUGUGUGGGUGGAUUUUGGUGUUAGAUUUUUAACUUGUAUUUUGGCCAGAAGUUUAAAGUUAAAAAGCCUUAAUCCAAAUCUAAAGCCUUCUCCAAAUCUGUUCUGAUCUCAUCUACAUCUUGGGUGGCCUGAGGGUGAGUACAUUUUCCUUUAAGUGUUUGCACAUUUCUUCUUACUUUGCUAAAGCUUUUUCUUUAAAACAACUUUUUACAGCAACAAAUAGAGAAUUUUGAAAGAGGGUGGUGAGAUAGUUUACCAACUAGAGCCAGGGGUCAGCUUUAACCCAGCUUAUCAUCCUGAAUCAAUCUUUUUAUUGUGUGCGUUCCUAUAGAGCAACUCUGUAGCGUGUUACUGUGAUCAAGCCUGGUGCUCAGGUAGCUUCAUGUGAAAACCAGGUGCACAUCAAACCUCUGAGAAAACAUCACAUGUUGUAUACUACAAGGCUAUGACUGAUAAAUUGUAUAUUUUUAAAAAGAUAUAACUUAAAAUGUUUAUUAAAAUCUUUGGUGGGGGGGGGGGGGGAUUUGUGUUUUAAAAUGAUCUGGUGGAUUAUGUUUGUGUUUGCCACUUAGAAUUCAUGUUUUCUGUACUGCAUGUCAUAAGAGAUGCAUAUGUUUAUGUGCAGAUAUCUAUAAAGAGCUUUUAUCAAGAGUAUAUCUCAGAUGUUCAGCACUAAUAUUUAUGUUUCUAUUUUCUUCGUUCAGUUUUGAAUCACAAAACUAGUUUUGAAUUACAAGUAUCUACAUAUCUGUUUUUUUUUCAAGGCAUUAUUGGAAAUGAUGUCAUUCUGUGCUUAGACACAGAAAUUACAGAAAAGCAGCAAAAAAUGUAUUUAUACAUCUAUUUAUUCAUACAGAGUAGGAGAAUGCAAAGCUUUAUUGUAUAGUUUGCACAGCUGUUUAUUCAUUAAGAUGCGCUGAUCAAUUACAGUCUUUUCUUUGUGCACACCUGCUCUGACAUGUUGAUGGGAUCAUUCAAUUCAUGUACGCUCCUCUACCACGCACCACGUCAGCCAGAAGCUGUUCAUUUGCUAGGUUAAAUUAGUAGGUAGCAAAAUAUUUGUUUCUGAGGACAUAGCGACACAUUUAGUCCCAGCAAGGGGCCGUAUUCUGACUGUGAAGUUGUGAAACUGCACUGCAUUUUUGUGAAAAUGCACCAUAAACUCCAUCCUUGAGUCCAUGCUUUCCAUCUAACAUGAACUUCUUGACUUCAGUUUCAAACUCCCAGAAGUUCAUUUUAAAAAACAGAAGCUAAAAGUAUCUGUCUGGAAAAAAAAAUGCUGAAUUUCAUGUAUAAUUUCUCAAAAUAUUGCCUAAAAGCAAUGGUCCCAUCUAAUAGGUUUUUACAAUCUAUAUUUGUAUUGAGCACUAUUAUGAAGUUUUAUAUAGUGUAAAGACACUUGAUACGUUCACAUUCAUAUCCUGUAUAUGCAAUGUCACUUAAUCAUAUCUCAACAAUCAUUAAACGUACAGAAAAUAGAA
Cyprinus carpio (common carp) is the source of this 3545-nucleotide long non-coding RNA. RefSeq lists it as uncharacterized. The transcript is spliced from 2 exons. Lineage: Eukaryota; Metazoa; Chordata; Actinopteri; Cypriniformes; Cyprinidae. The record is from RefSeq and is a predicted model, not a curated record.